Molecule: ribosomal RNA, 320 nt
Filed under: uncultured eukaryote
Lineage: Eukaryota
Description: partial 18S ribosomal RNA
Rfam family: Eukaryotic small subunit ribosomal RNA
Source: RNAcentral
CCCUUAGAUGUUCUGGGCUGCACGCGUGUUACAAUCGGGAGUACAACAAGAUUGCAAAUCCUAGUGGAUGAGUGGUUCUUCGAAAUUUUCUGAAGCCUGGGAUAGUUGAUUGAAAUUAUUCAACUCAAACGAGGAAUUCCUUGUAAUUGUAAUUCAUUAUAUUGUAAUGAAUACGUCCCUGCCCUUUGUACACACCGCCCGUCGCUCCUACCGAUUGAACGAUCCGGUGAAUUAUUUGGAGUAGCUCUGGAAGUUGCAGAACUUCCUAUGUCACGAAAUUUUGUAAACCUUAUCGUUUAGAGGAAGGAAAAGUCGUAACA